Molecule: ribosomal RNA, 417 nt
Filed under: uncultured bacterium
Lineage: Bacteria
Description: bacterial SSU rRNA
Rfam family: Bacterial small subunit ribosomal RNA
Source: RNAcentral
GGGGGAUAUUGCACAAUGGGCGCAAGCCUGAUGCAGCGACGCCGCGUGAGGGAUGACGGCUUUCGGGUUGUAAAACUCUUUCGCUACCGAACAAGGCUUUAUAUUUGUGGGGUUGAGGGUAGGUGGAUAAGAAGCGCCGGCUAACUACGUGCCAGUAGCCGCGGUAAUACGUAGGGCGCGAGCGUUGUCCGGAAUUAUUGGGCGUAAAGAGCUCGUAGGCGGCUUGUCGCGUCUGCUGUGAAAACGCGGGGCUUAACUCCGCGCGUGCAGUGGGUACGGGCAGGCUAGAGUGUGGUAGGGGUGACUGGAAUUCCUGGUGUAGCGGUGGAAUGCGCAGAUAUCAGGAGGAACACCGAUGGCGAAGGCAGGUCACUGGGCCAUUACUGACGCUGAGGAGCGAAAGCAUGGGGAGCGAAC